Molecule: long non-coding RNA, 281 nt
Organism: Suricata suricatta (meerkat)
Lineage: Eukaryota; Metazoa; Chordata; Mammalia; Carnivora; Herpestidae
Exons: 3
Source: RefSeq, a predicted model, not a curated record
UCUAAUAUGUUGGAAUGAGCCAAAGGACUGUUUUACUUUUCUAGGUCCACUCACGGAUAACCUUGGACAACAGUAGAUAUGGAUGGAGAAUGGUUUGGAGAGACAGUCAGAGACUUGGACAUCAAGAAAAUAAUUUAAGAUUAUUGACAAGGAAGUUUUGCUGAGGCAUGUAGCUGGGAAACUGGCAAGAUAAAUUGGGGAAGGUGGAAGAGCAAGAAAAAAUGGGAAGAAAACACAAACACAAAUACAUGUAUUCAUAAAAUAUCUAUUAUGCUCCACUA